UACGUAGGGUGCGAGCGUUAAUCGGAAUUACUGGGCGUAAAGCGUGCGCAGGCGGUUUUGUAAGCCAGAUGUGAAAGCCCCGGGCUUAACCUGGGAAUGGCAUUUGGGACUGCAAGGCUGGAGUGCGGCAGAGGAGACUGGAAUUCCUGGUGUAGCAGUGAAAUGCGUAGAUAUCAGGAGGAACACCGGUGGCGAAGGCGGGUCUCUGGGCCGAUACUGACGCUGAGGAGCGAAAGCGUGGGGAGCAAACAGG
RNAcentral lists this ribosomal RNA (253 nucleotides) under uncultured bacterium. RNAcentral's name for it is "partial 16S ribosomal RNA". It matches the Rfam family "Bacterial small subunit ribosomal RNA", at positions 524 to 776 of the family's 1533-position model. The record is from RNAcentral.